This 253-nucleotide ribosomal RNA is filed under the name uncultured bacterium. RNAcentral's name for it is "partial 16S ribosomal RNA". It matches the Rfam family "Bacterial small subunit ribosomal RNA", at positions 524 to 776 of the family's 1533-position model. The record is from RNAcentral.
UACGGGGGGAGCAAGCGUUGUUCGGAUUUACUGGGCGUAAAGAGCGUGUAGGCGGCCAGGUAGGUCGGUUGUGAAAACUGGAGGCUCAACCUUCAGAGGUCGACCGAAACCAUCUGGCUAGAGUCCGGAAGAGGCGAGUGGAAUUCCUGGUGUAGCGGUGAAAUGCGCAGAUAUCAGGAGGAACACCGAUUGCGAAGGCAGCUCGCUGGGACGUUACUGACGCUGAGACGCGAAAGCGUGGGGAGCAAACAGG